Mugil cephalus (flathead mullet) is the source of this 1336-nucleotide long non-coding RNA. RefSeq lists it as uncharacterized. The transcript has 2 exons. The record is from RefSeq and is a predicted model, not a curated record. NCBI's taxonomy places the organism in Eukaryota, Metazoa, Chordata, Actinopteri, Mugiliformes, Mugilidae.
GUUACACAAAUAAGACGAUUCUGGCUUCUUUAACGCGUCACCACAAUGUCACUUACAUUUACAAUAUGUCAGGAUGAUUAAAUAAAUCAAAUACUUUACAGGAAAACCCACUGAUAUGUGUGCACAAUACCUGGAGGUUAUAUUUUCUGUACUAACUGGUCUAAGACAAAAAGCCAAACUCAUGUUUUAUUUGUUUAUUUUAUUUAUUUAUUUUAUUUUUUUGUGGACUCAAAAUUGGUCAACGUGGAGUUUAUUCCUCUGCCUCUGAUAUUCCCAUAUUCCAUCCCAUCUGUGUCUCUUUCUCACGCUCUCUCUCCGCUCCCCGUCUCCUCACACACGCAUGCGUCAAUCGGCAGCUUGCAACGGGAAGAUUUCCAUCAUAUCUUUCUUAACUAAACCUUGAAAUUAUCGUUAAAAAUUCCUGUUUUUAGGAGAAAGAUCGCCGACCCAGAGACCAAUCAGCUCAGGACGCCCUCGACUUGUUCUUUCUUUCUUUUUUUUUCUUCUUUUUUUAAAUCCCAAUGCAAGCGCCGACUGGAUGCCUGAAAAUAAAAUAAACAACUCCUCAAAUCCUCCCAAUCGGCAGGCUAUGUCCCUGUGAUGCUCAUCUGCGACCACGAGGAGCACGAGUGCCUCCACUGAUCUGGGACCAGAACCUGCAAGACAUGCUGCCGUGAGUCAGGUGAAUUCAAAAAUUGAAUUUGAAAAUCGCCAAUCCAUCCAGUCUGCGUGGAUCGUCUCAGCCUCAAUCAGCGUCCAAUUGCACAUUUUUUCCCCCCUUCUCUCCUCUGUUUUGCUUACAGGCUCAUGCAUCCUGAAUUACGAAGUAGGAAAACAUGUACUUUGAGGGGGGAAAAAAACGCAGCUGCUCCUAGGCUGCACUGUAGUUACUGUAAAAUCAAAAGUGGAGCCAAUGCAAAUGUGCGCUAAUGAAGAAGACACAGUUAAAGAAUGUAAGAGCUUUUUGAAGCCAGGCAGAUUGAUGGAGAGAGAAGGAGAGAGAGAAAAAAAAAUACAAUUCUACAUAUCUGUAUCAGUGAAUGAUUAAUUAAUUUUUGUUGAAUGAUCUGCCGUAGCCUUCCGAGAUAUCAGUUUCCAUUUCUUUUUACACUUUUUUCUUUUUACAGAAGAUCUCAAGAGACCAGUAGUUCAAAAGGCGGUUCAAUUUAGAGCUCCCACUGGAAACGGUUUCAGAAAGUCUCUGCCAUACGUUGGGGCUUUGAUGUGUUUUAACUGUCAUAAUCUUACUGUUCACAAACGGGGAAAAUAAAUUUGCUCCAUUGUAAAAGCGCCCCCUUUUUUUUUUUUUUGACUUCACAGUUCAUUUAAGCUACAU